Megachile rotundata (alfalfa leafcutting bee) is the source of this 12971-nucleotide long non-coding RNA. Lineage: Eukaryota; Metazoa; Arthropoda; Insecta; Hymenoptera; Megachilidae. The record is from RefSeq and is a predicted model, not a curated record.
UCGCCGGAAUACGCGCUGGGCGCCAUCAGCCGCGCCGUGUUUAUUUUCGUUGCGUGGCUAUCGCAGGGCACCGAAUAACGACGUUAAUUUCCUGUUUACAAGCCGGUUAUUAUGGAGCAACGAGUAACGCGAGACCGUACCGCAAAUACACCGGAUUCCUCCGAAAUUUCUUCCGGUAAAAUGUCGAGCGAUCGAACUUUUAGCCGUCCUCGCGCCGGCUGCGAUACCCACAUCGCCGCGAGGCUUCUUUCGACGCUCGUAAAACGAUUUUCGAUAACUACCUCUUGCGUUUUCAAUACGAUACGGACGAGCGAGGGUUCAAGCAAAAUACCGAAACCUAUAAAUUUCGCGAUACUCCAUCGACCGGCGUAAAAUUUUUCGGGUAAAACGAGGCUAACGUUUCGACGGAUUCUACUAGCGCGAAAAAUCUCGAUUUCGAAGCUGCCCGCGUUCCGUUCGCUACAUGCACGCUACGAAACAGCGGAACGUUCGUCGAUACAUCCACCGCGAUCCAUCGACUCGACUAUUCGAACCAGCCGGUUCUCUUUUCCCCUUGUUCCCCCUUUCCAUUCUAAUGAUCGUCGCGUUCCGACGCGCUACGUGUAUCCCCGAACUCCCCUCGAUUUCGAUAUUGCCACGAUUCUCCUCGAACAGAGACUCGAUCGAAGUCGGGAGCGAAAUAAGAGGGAAGCGUUCGUUACGACGCUCCGUGCCGUGUCUUUCGAACGAUUUGCCUCGGUGACGUUAACCGCCAGUCGCCGAGGGCCUCUUCUUCCUUAUGACGGAAUCUCGACAAUAGUGGGAAUAAGUUACAAGUUCCAGCGUACGACGCAACAUGAUUUCCCCGGUGGCGUUCGCUUCUUCCUCCUACGCUUCGGUUAAUCGGCCGGACGAUUUGCCGAGGCUCGGUCGCGUCGUUUCUCUUCUCGCCGCCGCACAAAACCGCUAUACGUGUAUGGAACACGAACAAAUAUCUAUGACGACAUCCUUAUCCUCCGUUCGCGCUCGCAUUUUGUAAGUUUCAACGAAACUGUUUCCGCGAUUCCUCCCGAUAUCGGGUUAAGAAUUCCUGUUUUCGCGCAAUCAAAUUUCUUCGCGCAGUUAUCCUUUUUCACGAUUACGCGAGGCCGAGACGCGUAUCCGUUAUCCGGAAGGUACCGGUUGAACGAGUUUGCGUAGCGUUAUCCGGACGUCUUUCCUUUUCGAGCAGCGGAGAAAUUCGUUCUCGAUAUCGCGAAAAAGUUCAAUUUUCGUCGCAGCUUUCUUCUCCCUGUCGGGAACGAUCGGAGAAGCGGGGAGAUCGUUUCGGGGCGCAUCCUCGGAUGCGACAAUUUCGCGAUCGAGCUCUCUUCCGUGUUUCGAGACAGGCGGUAACGGCGCAUCGAGCAACGGGCGAAAACAGCGCGAAAUUAAGUAGAAAAAUUUCCAUCGAUCUCCGGGAUAACCCGUUUUUCUCUUUCUCUCUGGCUCUCUUCGUUACCCUUCCGUGCCGUUCCAUCUCGUUUAGCUGUCUCGUUUCGCUCCGGCGGUCUCGAUUCGUUUUCAAUUUUACUCCUCAAAUAUUAGCCGAAUCUUGGAACGUCGUCGGAUCCUUUCGGCGGCGUAAUUGAACGAGCGGGUAGCAUUAACGAGAAAUUAGCCCGGCCGAACCAUCGAAACUCCGCAGUCCGUAUCCAUGGAAUCGCUUACCGAAGUAGGUGCACCGGCAACGCGGGGGGAUCCGCGAAAAGCGAAGGAAGGAAAACGUGCCAGAAGUUCGGUGACUGAUCGAACUUCUUUUUGCCGGCGAAUCGAUUUCGAGAUCGGGACGGAAGAGACAGAGGUUUCUUUGGAACUUCCUCGAAACGAGUCCCGCGUCGAGGCGCGAUAACAACGAUAAAAAGGUUUUUAACGCGAACCAGAGUUGCAGAGGACCGCGUAAUCCCGCGGGUGACGCGUAACGCGCACAAUUUUUAUCCUCCGAUUCUUCUUACUUUUCGCGAUGUUUUUAUUAGCGACGGCAAUAAUUUUUAAUUCUUUCGCUCUUAUCCUUCCACGAGCGUCGAAAGCGUCGUAAAUUCUCGUGGUUUUUGCUCUCCGGGCUCGUUUCGCAACGGCGAAUAUUAUCGAAACGUUGCGGUCGAUGAACGCGCGCGAGUCUUAUCGCGUAAACGAAUCGACUCGCAAAGGGUUUAGAGUUCGACGCUCGGGAACGCGAAUCGAACCCGGUCGUCGAAGCGACGGUCCGCGGUGAACAAAAGGACAACGCGUUCCGGAUAAAGCGGAACAAAACGGGGAAAAAGGAAGUCGUAAACCCUCGCCUCGUCGAAUUCGCGGCAAGAACGGUAUCCUCGUUAACGAACUCGUCGUAAUCGGAAACGUUGCUCACAGGAUGUCGCGGUUCGAUUUCGUUUCGGACGACAAGAUCGAUUUUUAGCGAACGUCUAUCCAUCCCGAAGAGUUAAUUAAACGCGCGUUAACGCGAACGCGAAGGUAACGUUUUUGUAGCGUCGGAAAAAGUAACGCGUUGAACGUGAUCGGUUUGUCGACGGAAAAUAUUUUGCGACUCGGUCAUAAUCGUUUUAUUAGUUAUUUGUCUCGUACGUCGCGUUCGCGCGCGUCGAAGUAAUAAUAAUAACGCGGGAAAUUACUUUGUAAAAACUGUUGGCGAGAUUGCGCGUCCCGGUGACCCAAUAUUCGUCAAACAAUGCGAAAUUACGGCACAAUAACGCUGUCGUUUUCUCUUUGCGGCUGAUAAAAACUGAUGAUGCGCUUUCAACGCCAGCUUCGCUUAUCCUGGUUAAUAAUCUCGCGGGGAACGUAGCUCGGAGGAGAAAAAGAAAAGAAAGAGAGUAAAAGCGCGUCUGAAAGUUUGUACGCGACGCAACUCGUCUCGCUUAUUCUUUUUCCCGAAAGGUUAAGAUUCUCGUAACGAGUUAACUCGUCGUAAGUUUGUUCGUAGUUGUUUUCGUUUGUCGGUACAAGCGCCGGCAAAGAAAAUUUCAAAGUAAACCGUUAACGAAAUUCCGCGAUGCAGCUUCUAGAUAAGAACGCGGAGUCUCGGCGUCGCGAGAGCUUUUUUCGAGCUUCCUGGUUACACGGCCGAUCGGUCUUCGAAUCCUUCCGUUCGCUGCGAAAUCGUUGUUGCAUAGACAGGAACAAAAUUGAUACGGUUUCCGAAUCGAAACGUUGCUCGUAGACCUGGUAAUGGAAAAUGUCGAAUAAUCCGAUGACCGUUGCCCCUUGCCGGUAAACGCGUGCCCCGUAGACCAGAUCCAAAUUGAAUUCCCCGAGGCUAGCGGAUGCGCGAUUAAAAGCAGGGAAAUUAUAUUAAUAACGUUCAUUGCGGAUCCGCUUUAUGGACUCGGAAGAAUCUCGACCACCGGACAGUCCGCGCAUCAAUUUCAAUUUCGGUCGAAACGUUUCGACCAAAUAGUAUAGCCGUUGAAGGGCGAUUUAAAGGUUGGGGACGAUCUUCGGUUUAGCGAAGAAAUCGUGGACGAAUCGGAUUGUAAAAUCGUCGUACGUUUGACGACCGGGUCGAAUCUGUCCGAAAGUGUAAAACGAAAUAACCUUCGCGGUUAGAUUUCGUUCGAAAGAGCGCGCAACGGUAUUCUUUCUAAACGCUCCUAGGAGAGUCAUUCGUUUCGGAGGAGAUUCUGGUAAUAGAACGACGCGACGGUUUGCCAGGCGAACGAGCGAGUAUCUCGUCGACGUUAAGAGGCGGUAUUAACCUUCGAAAGCCGUGAUCGUUGCACGGAAACAACCGUAUUCGUCUUUACUUAUUUUCACGAGCACCGUUUAAUCGCCGUUCGAUUUUUACCGCCGGUCGUUGUCGCUGACGCAAACGUCCUCCGCUCAGUUUCCUCUCUAUCCAGGAUUCGUCGAAUGCGAGAAAAUUUGUAAACGGACUAGUUGCGGUUCUCGGGUUACUACGGGUAGGCGGUCGAUGAUGCCAGAAAUGUUCGUAACGGCAGAAGCUGCGCUAUAGAAUCCCUUGCGAGAAAGGGAGGCGUUAGAAAGGAUUUCUGGAGCACGAAGAAAGAUAAGGAAGCGCGUAGCGUCGAGAUAGCGCGUCGCGUGCAUUAUACGAAUAGUUUACCGUUUUCGCGAACAAAGGGCAGACGAUGAGAUAAACGCUGAUCAAGCCCGGUAGAUAGGUAGGCUCGGUUAUCGCGUUUUUAACGUGUCCCACGCGCAAACAACGAAUCCGUACUUGCCGUGUUUGCUUUCUUCCGGCGAACGUCUCUGCGAGUCACGCGGUCCACCGGACGGACCGCGCAAACUUUCUAACGGAGAACUGUCCCCGGUAGAGAGGCUAGAUAACAGAACGACCGCGCGAUAUCGCCGCUCCGCCAUCGUAUCGUAGCUAAUUAAUUUUGCGAUUUCGCAGCGAAGCUUUUAAAAAAGUACCACCAGCCUUCGCCAACCGCGUCGCAUAAUAUACGGUACGAGCCUGGCGUUAAUCACGGUUUCAGCGUUUUCUAUCCGGCCGAUAACUGGUCGUCGUAAUUCCGGCAUAUCGGCGACGAAUAGAGCUCGUUUAAAAUCCGAGGAUAUCGAUUACGCGAAAAUCUCUGCGCGUCUUUCGGUGGUCCGAACGCGUUCAACCUCCCCGACUGUUAGACGUACAAACUAAACGAGACUCGGAAUGUUAAUUACUCGAUUAGCGCGACACACGUGCUAGCCAGACGAGUGAUUUAUGACUUAGAUGCGCCGCGGUAAUCGAGGCUCGGGAAUAUUAACGUCGAAAGCUGAAUCGUAGCGCAUCCCGUUGUGUCACGAUCUAGCCGCAUCGAUGAAGAGAACUUUAUUAGGCGUUGUUCCGGUGGUUGUUCGUUUUACCCGCGCCGACGUUCGUCCUAUCGUUCGGCCCCUGAAACUUCUCGACCGAUCGUAGUUCGAAUUCGACCGAUCGAUGAAUCGAAACGGUCUCCUUUCCUGGAGAGGGAAGCCCUCGAACGCUCCUGUCCUACUAAUCGCCGGAAACACGCCGCUUAACCGUUUCACGAGCACGCGUGCUAUGCGCGUAAUUCUCCGCUUAAUGGGCCGCUUUCCUCGCUAAUUUUCCUCGAAUCGUGCUUCCACUUAUAGGCCACCUGUCCGAAAUGGCUGACCGUAAACAGGCCAGCGGCGAAUUUCCGAAACGAUCAACUUCGUUUUCACUCGUAUUCUCCUACGACCCUCGUACUUUGACCGCGUUUUACUUUCCUGGCUCGCGCUGUUUCGAUCUCUCGAUGAUCGUCGACGCACCGUGUCGGAAAUCCGUUUUCCUAUUUAACUCGAGUAACUUCGGAGAAUUACUAUUGGAGAAUGUUCUCGUUACGGAUGAAAACGUGACAGGCGCGAAGGAAGAAAAACAGUUUCGGUAAUUUUUUUCUCGUCGCUUCGUUUCUCUGCUUCAAAUAUUCGCGAACAACAAAUUUUUUGUCCGCUAUUUCCGAAUCCAGCUCUGCCGUACGUUUCGUGCCGGAAAGAAUAGGUUAGCCAUAAAUUUUCGAUCGAACGUUCGAUUCGGCGAAACGCGGGACUUUGUCAGGAACGUCUGUCACGCUCGCGCACGUCGGCUGUCGCCGGUGAAAUUGUUUCGACGUUACCUAAAUAAUUUUCGCGAAGCUUCCCGCACGGUCGACCAAGUUUUACGUAAUUACGUGCGCGCGUUCGAGCGCACGAAUUUAUACCAGGCUAAAUAGUGCGAGGAACGCGACGCGAAAGUGAAUUAAAGGGAGCAAGUUCGUGGUUACGAACGCCCAUCGUAAUAAAAUUUUCUCGAGACGAGCUCCUCCGUUUCGCGUUAUCCCGUCGUCUUCUCGUCGUCGAAGCAAUACCUCGAGAAACCGAGAAUCGGAUUAUCCUCCUCGUUUUCGUACGUUUGCGCCGCGUUUUUAGCGGUCGAAGACAGAGGAUCCGAAAAUCGACUAACGAAUCGUAUCGCAUGAUGGAACAAUGGCAUUAACGAGAGCCAGUCGAUGGUCGAGAUGUUCGGAGCGGACGGCUCGAUCUUCUUCGACGUCGAAUUUCGUGGAACGUGGUCGCGUUCCGGUGUCAGGAAUCGAGUCGAACGAGCGGAAGACAGGAAAAGGGUAUAACGAGCGCGACGAGCCGAACGCAUCGAUUUCUAACUACACCCCAGAGAACGAACGAGCGCGGCACCGUUGUCGAAAUCGAUUUAAUUACCGAACCCAUUAAGGUAAUUGCUCGAGGAAGCGUGGAUUUUUUGCCACGGCGCGGCCUGGCGAUUUUGCGUUGCGACGUAGGGCGAUCGAUGGCGGCGCGCGCGCCGAUUACUCGAUGAAAUUGCGCGUCCCGGAAAUAAUUUCAUUUCGACGUACGCUCGUAAAAGGUCGGCGAAUAUCGCGAGAUUACGCGGAAGUUCGAUGUACGAUUCCACCUGAGAAGGUAGCUCCCCGUCGACCAACUUUUUUCCGAAGACUUCCGCUUUAACGUUCCCGCUUCGAGUUUCCGAUCGAAUUCAGUCCGCGCGAUUCGUUCUCCUUGAUGGCGUUCUCGAUUUAUAGAGAAGCACCGUCGAGUUCGCGUAAAACGCGAACCACGUUAUUAAUUUCAAACAGUUGAUUUCAAUGGUAUUAUCCGCGGCCGGCAAACGGUGCCGGCAUCGAUACGCGCGCCUGAUUAACGGCUAACGUAUUAUUGAAAUUUUCAUGCGUUAUGCAUGCCGCGUGGUCGGUAAUUGAUGAAGCCGCGUGGCUAAACGCGCAAAUUGAAACGAUGACCUGUCGAUUCGUAGAAUUUGCGACCGACACCGUCCCGUCGUUUCUUUUCCCGCCGCUAUUCCGUUCUCGUUUCGGCUCCCGUCUCCGAACGAUUAUCGACUUUCGCGUUUCGAGAUUCGACGUUCAUCGAGUCUUUCCAGGUGACGAUAAUUAUUUUACGGUCGAGAGGAGCGUAGUGCGCGCAGCCACGAAAUUUCGUUCGGUUCUCCUCCCCUCUGUGUUUCCGUUUCCGUAUCUCUCGGUGCCUACAGUCUAUGCUCGGAGGGAAAAUCGAUAAACCCGACGCGGUUCGGAGUCGUUAAAGAAGGAUUACGAAUAGCCCGGAGGAAAGUAAAAGAAAAAAUCGGCAGGAAAACGAGAGUAGAGGAAAUCCUCGCUUCUCGCCGUUUCGAUUUCUACGUCGCGUAACGAUAUAACAGGUGGUGUCCGAUUUCAGCCCCGAGCUAUCGUGUCCGGAACUUCGUUCCUCCGGUACUUAUCUUCGUUUCUCGUCCGCGUUUCGGCAAAGUCGUCGCGCUACUCGGUCAAGUGUCGAGAGAUUUUCGACGUCGUCCUCCUCCUUAACUAGCAGAAAUUUCGCGCUACCGAAAGCUUAUUCCCGACGGGAGAAGUUUGUUCGUGGAUGGCUGCACGGUACAUUUUCUAAAGAAAUAUUUUGCGGCUUCCUCUCUCGCUGGUUCAGGGCGUCGAGGAAAAUUCGUUUUUCCCCGGAAGAAGAGCCAUAUAGUCGCCUCGUCCCGAUCUCCGUUCCAGCCAGGCGCCGAGAAGCGUCCCGGCGUGUCGUAGCACGCGCGUCCCCAGCCCGACUCCGUAAACUUUCGCUCCGAUCCCUCUCUUCGCGGUCUCGAGAAACUCCGUCACGGUUGCCGGGCUAAUUCCCUGGCAUUUCCCGCGCCCCGUUAACCAGCUAAUUGCGCGCCUUCUGUCUACUGCCUCGUCCACCGACAUCCUAGCUGCCAGCUUCCUUUCCGCUCCGAGCCCCUCCUUGCCAUCCGAUCCUUUUACCUUUCUCCGUUUUCCGGCUGAAACGCGCGAAACGCUUAAUUACUUCUUCUACCGACCUUUCCGUACCUCACGAUAUUUUUUCUUUUUCGAACACGCUCCAACGAACUGCUCUCCGUGUCGUUGCGAAUCUCCGCGGACUCGAUUCUUUAUCGCGUAAAUGCUGAAAGGGAAAUCGAUGCGACGGAAACUCGGAUUCCGCAAGAUCGAUUAGGCGAAUUUUCGUUCGAAACUAGUUAGGGAAGAAGGUUCGAUCGCGAAAUUAUGCAACCGCGCGACACGUUAGGUUCGAAACGAUAGAAAGGGUUCGAGGCCGGUAUCGAAUAUCGCGUCGCCGCACCGUGACGUGUCGCGGUUAGGAAGAACGAAUCGGAACCGACGCGCGCGAAACUUUACCGUCCCGAAACUAACGGCGACUGGCAAAAUAUUUGACCAACUUUAAGGAUUACGAGCAGUCCCGAACAUUUCCUCGCUGUACAACUUUUCGUACCGACUCCUAUCCGCGAGCCGCUUCUCGAUUCCGUUUCGGUAACUCGGUUUUCGAAUAUAUCGCGACCGCGAUAAUUGCAACACGGACGCGGGUCGAAAACAUACCUUCCGCGUCGGGAUUACCUCGAAGAAUUAGCGAGAAAGAAGCAGGGAUAAGAACCGAGUCGGAAACAAAAGGAAAACUCGAUAACGGAGCUCUCGAUAACGAGCUCGCUCGAGCAUUCGCGAGGAAGAUGGAACUCGAGAUCGAAUUUUGUUGGCGGCAGACGAUAAAAAACGUAGACUCACCGGCGAAAGUUUUCUUCGCGAAGCAUCCGAAUUGUUUUCUUUUUUUCCUAGCGCGUGGAACCCAGCCAGAAUCGAGAGGGCGAAACGAAUUGGCGGGCGUCGAGAAACGAGGCAAACUAGAAUUUUUCGGUAGCACGGAUUUCCCCGGUGCUCGUCUAACCGUCACGGUCGACGCGCGCUUCUCAAAAGCGUCGUCUCGCUGACUUAUUUGGCGCCGCGAACGAGUUUCUCUCGGCUUUCGAAUAUUCGACGUUCUCGCGGCACCGCUAUUUUUCCUCCUUCCAACGUAACGUUCGUAUCCGAGGCGAGCUUUCAGAGCUCGACGAUCCUCUUUCCGCGGCGAAAGAGCGCGACCCCGGUGAAUGGCCCGUCGUCUCGAGCGCGAAAAAACCGGCUAGCUGCCGACAAGAGCGGAAGGAAACCGAUCGCCGGCCGAAUCGUUUCUCCUCUUCUCGAAGCUGCCAACUAACGCCUCGGACGAGCAGACGGUCGAAGGGACGUGCCAAUUUGCACCGGGAGGACGUCCUCGGAAGUUUACGCCGGCUACGGUUGACCGGACGAAUUCGGACGGACGUCUGUCAGCCGAAAACUGGCAACUCGCGCGUUUAACGACGAAACGAGGCGUCGUAACGCUUUCGAGCGCACGGAAUCGGAAUAACCGCAAAUCCCAGUUGCAACUUAUCCGUCCGCGUCCAAGCCAGCUUUCCGCUCCGCAAAAUAUCGCUCUCUUCCGCGCUUACCUCCUACUCUCUAGUCGACGUUUCUCGUUUCGUGCGUGUUUAGGUCGCGUCACCCUUCCGACGGAUCGAUCGACGAUCUCGACGCAUCGUCCGUUUCGGAACAAGGUCUCCGGAAAAGCUGUUCGGUCCGUAGCCGCUCCGACCGUUCGCGAAUACGCGCGGAUAAAGGACGGAACGUUAUUACGUCCAGAGUAUCGCGAAAAAUACGCGGACUAAGCGGAUUUCCGUCGCGCUUGGCCAAGUUUGUCCGGAUAAAAUCCUGACCGCUUUCUCUCGACCGAGAUCUUCUUUCGCGGUCGGUUCCACGACUUUGCCGCUCUCCCCUUUAUUCGACCGGAUGGAGCGUAAAGCCGGAAGCCAGCCGACCAGACAAUAAUGGCGAUGGAACCGCGACGCGACACCGUUUACCGAAAGUUACGCUCGUACAAGCGUUUAUACCGGUUGAUCGUUUUGCCGAUUCAGCCGUGAAACCCGUAAUCGGUUUAUCCGGCACGAACAGAACUAUUUCGCUUCGCGGAAUCAAUCGAGAAACAGCUUCUGCCUGCGACGCGAUCGCGCGUACGGUAGCCGCUUUAUCGCGACGAUAUCGCGAUGCGAAAGCUUUCCCUGCAGGAUGUAAACCGUGCAUUCGUAAAGUUCCGUUUCUUUGUCUCGGAAGAUCGAGCUUCCGUCUUACGAGAAAAGCGUAUUUAACGAUCGUCCCGCUAAACUUUUCGUCGUAUAGAUCGGACGAAGAGAAACGGUCGCGCGUAAUCGUUUUACGAGCCAACUUUUCAUAGACGUUAAAAGUGACCGUCGUUCUUCUGACCCGACGGCGGUAGCGACGUCCCAAUUAGGAAACGAAACGCGACGGAAGACGACUCGCUUUCGAGAAAAUACGAUCGCGGAGACCGAUGAGUACGGAGGACUAUGCUUCGCUAUCACGAAAGACAUAAAGGCAACCUGGCGCGUUCCAUUAGAGCGAUGUCUACGGCGUAGCUAUCAGCGGUAACGGACCAGCUGACGCGGCAAUGCAAACGCUACCUUUCCACCCAACGCAAACACCCUCGUCUGUCCUUUGCCCAACCGCGCGUUAUACCCGAUGCACAUACCUACGCGUCCCUUUCUAUCGGAUAUAACCAUUUGCAUUUUACAACUAACCGCAGCCCUCGUCGAGUUACCUAACCGAAAACACGUCCUUUCUUCCUCGAUCGAAUCGGUCCGCGUCCCGAACGCGAUAGUCCUUUCCCACGGAAAAUCUUUCCGUCGGCGAGUCGUUCCAUCGGUUUCCGUCAAGCAAUCUCCGUCCGAUUAUCUCGACUCGAACUCGCGACAACGCGGACAGAUCUUAAUACUCGUAGUUUCUUAAGUGCCGACCAAGUUCUCUCUGUUCCUUCCAAUUAUAACCUUCGAAAGCUCCAACAGCCCGUGACGCAAGAGCUUGGAUGCAUAUCGAGUUACGACUCCGUUGCUCGCUAUCUACCAAAUACCGUAACUCCCUGUAGCGAUGCCGUAGGUUCGUCCACGAGUACCGUGUACUACGUAUUAACCUCCUUACGGACGUUAGCUACCGAGGUUGGCUAAUGCGCACUGUUGUACGCGCAAAUCUCGCGGACCAACUCUGUUGGACGCGAAUCGAACGCGUUCGUAACUCGAGUUUGUCGGGGAUACGCGAGAUAAGCUGUUGGAAUAGCCAAGUACACGUUGUACUCGAAACGUCUAAACGGAGCGAGAGAGAGAACGGCGUUUAUACCGACGUUUGCUAAAUUUAAUUCCACGACCGCGAAAGCCUACCCCGCAGAUCGCAGGCCACGAGGAUCGACGAGAGAUCGAAACGCGGCCUCGAUAACGCUCGACUUCCGUUGUUCAACUUUUUGUUUUCAAUUAUUCCUCGCGGUUUACGCCGACUCGAAAAAAAGUUGUACGCGUUCGACUAAAGUUUGCUUAUUUAUUGAAAGUCGGUGAAUCGUUAACUCGGCAUUUUUCUACGAAUCUACAUAUUUUCAGAGUCUCGAAGUUCUCGCGCGAUUCCAUUUGCUUGGUCGGUAAGAAGAAGAGUAAACCGAACGGAAACAACACGGUAGAGGAUAAAAUCGACGAUGGAUUUGUCCGAAAGAGGCUUCGAUCCAGACUUCGGCGUAUUUUUCCAGUCGCGGAAACCCGAAGCGAGUUUCGCGCGAUUCCCGCUUCGAUAAAUACUUACUUAAUCGAUCGAGAUUCGCCACGAUGUUAGACGUUUCUUUAUCCGUUACCACGAGUUCGUAAUGGGUAAUCACCGAACCGAUGUUCGACGCGAUCGCUCCGUUUAAAGUCGUUUCGUUCGGGACAAGUGUUUUCCUUCAAAAUUUUAUCCUCGAUUUUUCCAACAAAGACAAUUUGUUGAUGCGCGAAUGAUUAAAAAAGGGAAAUAACGUUACUACUCGCCGAAAGCGAAGAUGAUGGUCAAUCCCAAUAGACGAUCGAGCAUCGCAACCAACAACUUCGAAGCUUUGUGCAGGUGAAAAGACGCUGGUUCGAGGAAAAGCGAAAACGAGUUUAUCUCGCAGUGGCCAGGCGCUUCUUUCGUUUCUCGAACGAACGCGAUCGCCGUUGGUUAGAGUACCGGUGUGCUGGCGUAAUAUUUCGCGGGUUUUUUCCUUCGCGAUCAAUCGCGCUAAUUCCGCGCAGUUUCCUACCUUCCGAAGCGAAACUACGCCGUCGGUCAUUAGGUUCGUUUCACCAGCCUAUACGAUUUCAAUUAGGCUAAUGAUUUCACCGAGGUGCGCGUCAUUUUCGCCGGGAACGCGUUUCGGCUCAGAUAUUUUCCCGCGUAUUUGCCUGAUUGGAUUUACCAAAAGUUUUUGCAGCUCCCGAACGUCCGACGCGUUUCGCCUGGCGGCAGAAAUUAGCGCGCGGCGUGAUAUACGAACGAAACAAAGUAGCGUCGCGAUCGUGUGUUUCCUAAAUCGACGAGGUUGUCCGCGCUUCCUACAAAGUUACGUAGUACGGAAAAACGUCGGGCUUUCGUGCGUCUCGAAAGAACGUGGUUGUUUUUGUUUAACGCUUUCGUCGGUGCCGGCGACCGAGAGAAAAGGACGGCUUUUUCGAAAGUUUUUCCGGUUUAUCGAGACAGAAAAGCAGAGGGAAGAAAGUCGCGCGAGCAAGAGGCUCGGAGAAGAAUGGCGGACGACGAAGCGGGAAAAAAGUAACGGGCGUCGGCGCGUGGUAGUAACGGCGUUGUGUACCGAGUGCCGCGAACACAAGGACCGUCAGCUCGCUCGUUCGCCCUCGAGCGGAUCGACGAACGACGCGGACAAUGCGGAGUGUCGCGCACCACGGAUGCUACCAACGGCAUAGACAAAAGCCCGGGAAAGAAUUAAUGGCGGGCGGGCCGACUCUUUCCCACCGUUCCAAAUGCCCCAACGCGCACCGAAUCUUUCGACCAUUGCACUCGCCUUUCUUGCCGCGUUCGCUCCUCUCUUUUUUCCUCUUUUCCCCUUUUCCCCAUUUUCCCUGUAUCCCUGUAAACGAGUUACAGAGCUCGGCCAACCUCGUCUACCGGGUGAAAAGAUGGAAAUAAAAUAGGGGCAGAAUCACGGAUCGCUGCCGCCGAAAUUAAGUGGUCUCGCAUCGGGGGAGACGACGACGACGCGUUUUUCCCGCUCGAUGAAUCAUACGGGAAAGAAUAUCGAGAACCUCUCGACCAUCCUCGAUCCUGGUUUCCGCUCUACCCGGCCACUCCGCUGAAUUUACGAUCGGGUCGCGGGAACGGCAGGAAAAA